CGCGGCCUAUCAGCUUGUUGGUGAGGUAAUGGCUCACCAAGGCGACGACGGGUAGCCGGCCUGAGAGGGUGACCGGCCACACUGGGACUGAGACACGGCCCAGACUCCUACGGGAGGCAGCAGUGGGGAAUAUUGCACAAUGGGCGAAAGCCUGAUGCAGCGACGCCGCGUGAGGGAUGACGGCCUUCGGGUUGUAAACCUCUUUCAGUAGGGAAGAAGCGAAAGUGACGGUACCUGCAGAAGAAGCGCCGGCUAACUACGUGCCAGCAGCCGCGGUAAUACGUAGGGCGCAAGCGUUAUCCGGAAUUAUUGGGCGUAAAGAGCUCGUAGGCGGUUUGUCGCGUCUGCCGUGAAAGUCCGGGGCUCAACUCCGGAUCUGCGGUGGGUACGGGCAGACUAGAGUGAUGUAGGGGAGACUGGAAUUCCUGGUGUAGCGGUGAAAUGCGCAGAUAUCAGGAGGAACACCGAUGGCGAAGGCAGGUCUCUGGGCAUUAACUGACGCUGAGGAGCGAAAGCAUGGGGAGCGAACAGGAUUAGAUACCCUGGUAGUCCAUGCCGUAAACGUUGGGCACUAGGUGUGGGGGACAUUCCACGUUUUCCGUACCGUAGCUAACGCAUUAAGUGCCCCGCCUGGGGAGUACGG
Molecule: ribosomal RNA, 643 nt
Filed under: uncultured bacterium
Lineage: Bacteria
Description: bacterial SSU rRNA
Rfam family: Bacterial small subunit ribosomal RNA
Source: RNAcentral